This is an unclassified non-coding RNA of Macaca fascicularis (crab-eating macaque), 149 nucleotides long. It matches the Rfam family "Metazoan signal recognition particle RNA". From Rfam's summary of the family: The signal recognition particle (SRP) is a universally conserved ribonucleoprotein. The record is from Ensembl. NCBI's taxonomy places the organism in Eukaryota, Metazoa, Chordata, Mammalia, Primates, Cercopithecidae.
GCCAGGCAUGGUGGCACAUGCCUGUAGUUCCAGCUACCAGGAGAGCUGAGAUGGGAGGAUCACUUGAGCCUAGGAGGUCGAGGCUGCAGUGAGCCAAGAUCUUGGCCACUGCACUCCAGCCUAGGUGACAAAGUGAGAUCCUGUCUCAA